Girardinichthys multiradiatus is the source of this 2718-nucleotide long non-coding RNA. RefSeq lists it as uncharacterized. NCBI's taxonomy places the organism in Eukaryota, Metazoa, Chordata, Actinopteri, Cyprinodontiformes, Goodeidae. The record is from RefSeq and is a predicted model, not a curated record. The transcript has 3 exons.
UGAAGCAAAGAUAAAGGCCUUUUUGUAUAAAAAUCAUGUUAAAACCACAUAAGAGCUGAAGUACAAUGUUUACUGUUGCUUUUUCUUUCUCAAUUACAUAAAUCUACUCCAUUAGCAGCAUUUUGUCAUCAUUAUAUUGGUCCCUGGAUUCCCCAUGUAUUGAUUGGUGACCUUUUCACAAUCCCCAGCUGGGAUCCAAUUCUUUAUUCUUAAUAGAGUUCUGCUUUAUUCUGUACAAUCCUUCUUUAUUAACUGAUUCAAGGAAACUGUCUUACCACUCCUCCCAUAAAUCGCCAUCCGCACCUCAGUGGAUUUAAGGUGCUCAGUGAGCAUUUCAUCCACUCAGAGCUUUUCAAACUUACUCUCCACAGGGUCUUGCUUCCUUCAGGCUACAGGUGCAUCUCAAUAAAUCAGAAUAUCAUUUCAAUUCAAAAAGUGAAAUUUCAUAAAUUUGACACUAUUACACCUACCUGGACGUCCUAAACACCUCAGCAGAGCAACAGGCUGAUUGGUUCCAUGCCACUCCGCAUGUUAUGUGUAAUUUAUUUAUAUGAUCUGUACCAUUAAAGAUUUCUUCAGUUUUUGCUUUGAUGUUGCACUUACAUAUUUUAGAUCAUCAAACUAAUUUCUAUAUCAGACAAAGAUAACCCAAGUUAAUUCAAAAUAAAUGAUGACCUGUAAACCUGAUGGCUGGUUGUGGCACCUUUGGUGGGAUUAAACUGUCAAUCAUGCCACAGCAUCUCAGUCAAAUUAAUGUCCAGACUUUGACUAGGCCUUUUCAAAACCUUUUUGAUUUAGCCUUACAGAGGUGGACAUGCUGGUGUGCUUCAAAACACUGUCCUGCUGCACACCUGAAGUGACUUGAGCUUAAGGUUAAGAACUGACAUACGCUUCAGGAUUUUCUAGUAGAAAGCAGAAUUCAUGGUUCUAUUAAUUACUCCAAGUCCAGGUCCUGAGAAGCAAACCAGCUCAAGACCAUCACAAUACCACCACCAUGUUUAACAUCAAUGAUUUCUUUUAUUUUCAGAGUUACAAAGGGUUCUGGUUCUGUGAGCGGCGCCCUCUACAGGAAGAGGAAGUAAACUGAUGUCAGGUCCGGUCCUGUGAGCGGAUGAGAGAACCAGAGAUGGAGAGGCGAUAGCAGCGCUGGUCCUAGAUCAGCCUCCGCCCACCAACAACAAGGUCCAAACUAACCGGAUUCUCAGUUUAUUUAAACCAAUCAGCAGCUUACAAAACCAUCAGGUGACACCUGAUAUGGUGUUCAUGAAGACAGGCCUGGGAGACAGAAUCCUCAUUUUGAUUGGCUAGGAGCAGAGGGUGCACCACUGAGAGGUCAGGAGUCGCUCCCUCCUCCACCAUGGCAUCAUAGAUGACAAAGCCAACUGCCUUCUUCAGGUCACAUUUCCAUUUGAGAGUGAGGUGAUGAUGAGAGCCACAGAACUAAAGAGGGAAGAAUCCAUGAAAGGAUAGAGGAGGCAAGGGGCAAGAAUAAGACGAGGAUGAAGGCAAAGGAAAAAGAAGGGCAGAAGAUGAAGCAGAUGUGACAAUGAUGAAGGAAAUCUACUGAUGGACUCUGCCCACCUGAAAACACACAAAUAGAUUGACCUUUUACAUGACAGCCCUCUUAAACAUCAGUGAACAUUAAUCAUCACAAUCUGAAUGUGUCAAUUCAUGUGAUAAAACCCCUCAAAACUAGAAUCUUCGAUAAGUGAUUAUUGAGGGCCUGUGCUGAAAUUUAUGAAAACCCCAAAUUUGGUUUCUCAGAAAAUUAGAAUAUUACAUCACACCAAUAAACAAGGAUUUUUCAUGCAGAAAGGUUAUGUAAUGGCUGACCUAAUCAUCGAAAAAAGAUUUGACUUGACACUUAGCCAGCUAACAGUCAUUGACACCCUCCAAAAGGAAGGUUAGCUAGAGAUUCACAAGGUGUGGACUGCAGCUGGAGUCAGAUUUUUAAGAACCACCACACAGACAUAUCCAGGAUAUGGGCCCCAACUCUUGCAUUCCUUGACUAAAGCAGAGACGGGGCUAAAACAAAAAUGGACUGGACUGUUGCUUAUUGGUCCAAAGUCCUAUUGUUAGAUCAAAAUCAAUUUUGCCUUUUAUUUGUAAAUCAAGAUCCCAGAGUUUGGAGGAAGAGUAGAGAGACACAGAAUCCAUGUGGCAGGAGGUCCCGUGUGAAGUUAGUGAUGAUUUGAAGAGUCAUACCAUCAGCUGGUGCUGGUCCACUUUGUUAUUGCAAGUCCAAAGUCAGAGCAGUCGUCUACCAGGACAUUUUUAAGGUGCUCCUGGUUCCUUCUGCGGAUAAGCUUUGUGGAGCUGCUGAUUUCAUUUUCCAGCAGGACUUGGCACCUGCCCACACUGCCAAAAGUAAUAACACCUAUGUUAAUGACCAUGUAAUCACUGUGCUAUAACCUGACCUAAAUCCCACAGAUAAUCUAUGGAGGAUUGUCAAGCGGAAGGUAAGAUACUCCUGAGCCAACAAUGCAGAUAUCCUGAAGCCAGCUAUUAAAGCAACCUGUGCAAAAGAAGCUCUGACCAUGUAUUAAGUGUGUAUCCUGUCUGCAUGGCCAUACUUUUUACAAGGCUGACAUUUCUGUGUUGAUCAUUUUUUGGUCAUAUGUCAUGUUCUAAUUUUCUGAGAAACUACAGUACUAUGGUACUAUAGAUAGUCAUGAAUGACUUUGGCUGUUUGUUUGGGUUCACUCACUUCGGAUUUUA